Molecule: transfer RNA, 74 nt
Filed under: Phycisphaerae bacterium
Lineage: Bacteria; Pseudomonadati; Planctomycetota; Phycisphaerae
Also listed under: 1 other name
Description: tRNA-Cys
Rfam family: tRNA
About the family: Transfer RNA (tRNA) molecules are approximately 80 nucleotides in length. Their secondary structure includes four short double-helical elements and three loops (D, anti-codon, and T loops).
Source: RNAcentral
GGCGGCGUACCCAAGUGGACUAAGGGGACGGAUUGCAAAUCCGUUAUACAUGGGUUCGAAUCCCAUCGCCGCCU